AGAGUUUGAUCCUGGCUCAGGAUGAACGCUAGCGGCAGGCUUAACACAUGCAAGUCGAGGGGCAGCGGGGAGGAAGCUUGCUUUCUCCGCCGGCGACCGGCGCACGGGUGAGUAACACGUAUGCAACCUGCCCCUGUCAGGGGGACAACCCGCCGAAAGGCGGGCUAAACCCGCGUACAUGCCACCGGGGCAUCCCGGAGGCAGGAAAGGCUUCGGCCGGACAGGGAUGGGCAUGCGGCGCAUUAGGCAGUAGGCGGGGUAACGGCCCACCUAACCGACGAUGCGUAGGGGUUCUGAGAGGAAGGUCCCCCACACUGGUACUGAGACACGGACCAGACUCCUACGGGAGGCAGCAGUGAGGAAUAUUGGUCAAUGGUCGGGAGACUGAACCAGCCAAGCCGCGUGAGGGAUGAAGGUACAGAGUAUCGUAAACCUCUUUUGUCAGGGAACAAAGGCGGGGACGCGUCCCCGGAUGAGUGUACCUGAAGAAAAAGCAUCGGCUAACUCCGUGCCAGCAGCCGCGGUAAUACGGAGGAUGCGAGCGUUAUCCGGAUUUAUUGGGUUUAAGGGGUGCGCAGGCGGUCUAUUAAGUCAGCGGUCAAAGCCCGGGGCUCAACCCCGGCCCGCCGUUGAAACUGGCAGUCUCGAGUUGGAGAGAAGUAUGCGGAAUGCGCGGUGUAGCGGUGAAAUGCAUAGAUAUCGCGCAGAACUCCGAUUGCGAAGGCAGCAUGCCGGCUCCACACUGACGCUGAGGCGCGAAAGCGUGGGUAUCGAACAGGAUUAGAUACCCUGGUAGUCCACGCAGUAAACGAUGAAUGCUGGCUGUCCGGAGGGACUGACCCCUGGGUGGCGAAGCGAAAGCGAUAAGCAUUCCACCUGGGGAGUACGCCGGCAACGGUGAAACUCAAAGGAAUUGACGGGGGCCCGCACAAGCGGAGGAACAUGUGGUUUAAUUCGAUGAUACGCGAGGAACCUUACCCGGGCUCAAACGGGGAGUGACUCAGGCAGAGACGCCUGUUUCCCACGGGACACUCCCCGAGGUGCUGCAUGGUUGUCGUCAGCUCGUGCCGUGAGGUGUCGGCUUAAGUGCCAUAACGAGCGCAACCCCCGCGUGCAGUUGCUAACAGAUAACGCUGAGGACUCUGCACGGACUGCCGGCGCAAGCCGCGAGGAAGGCGGGGAUGACGUCAAAUCAGCACGGCCCUUACGUCCGGGGCGACACACGUGUUACAAUGGGUGGUACAGCGGGAAGCCAGGCGGCGACGCCGAGCGGAACCCGAAAUCCACUCUCAGUUCGGAUCGGAGUCUGCAACCCGACUCCGUGAAGCUGGAUUCGCUAGUAAUCGCGCAUCAGCCAUGGCGCGGUGAAUACGUUCCCGGGCCUUGUACUCACCGCCCGUCA
Molecule: ribosomal RNA, 1402 nt
Filed under: uncultured bacterium
Lineage: Bacteria
Description: 16S ribosomal RNA
Rfam family: Bacterial small subunit ribosomal RNA
Source: RNAcentral